RNAcentral lists this long non-coding RNA (2427 nucleotides) under Homo sapiens (human). RNAcentral's name for it is "HSALNT0300302". Lineage: Eukaryota; Metazoa; Chordata; Mammalia; Primates; Hominidae. The record is from RNAcentral.
CCGGUCCUGUUAUCUGGUUUAGCAGCAUUUGUUGUGGUUUUCGAGGAAACGGCAUUUGGAUUACAUAAGGAUUCAAGUUUUUGCUGUACUUGUUUAUUUAAUACCUUGGCAAGAGGGAGCCCUUACCCUGAAACCAGAUAACCGAUUUUGGGUUUAAAACAGCCUUAGAUGAAGGGCCACUCGAGGGGAAGAAAAUGAGCAAAGCCACAAAAAGCAAACAAGGGAAUGUUUAUUUUUCUCUUUUUGGAUAUUUUUGAAGACCUGCCUAACCUCUUACACUUCUUGUCGCAUACAGCUAAUAAAUGGCAUUAACAAAGCGUUUCAGCGACUACCACGGCUUCACAGUGGCUCCUCCCCUGCCCUGCCACCAUUCAGGCUGUAAUUCCUUCCAGGAUUCCCGCACCAUCCUGUGUGCCCAGAGCUCUCUAGAGCACCAGGUAGAACUCCGUGCUAAAUCCAAUUGCUUGCAAUCUUCUGAUCCCCUUUUAGGGAGAUCACUUUUCAGCUUGGUUCAAAGAAAGCAAAGUUUGGGAAGUUUGGCGGAGGGGCCGACUUAACUACGGGCACUGCAAAUAUUUUGUUACAAAUGCUGUGAAGUGCCCCGAUUUGUGGCUGCGUUAGCUUUCACAAAGGAUUUUCCUGUGUCUUUUGUUCCGAUCACCAAAUUAAAAGAGAAAAUUAACUUGAGUGAGAGAUAAGGUCUUGGAAAACAAUCUUGGGCCGCCCGCGAGCUGGCGGGAGCGGGGCUGGCGUCGCCUUGUCUGCGCCGCCCCGAGGCGCGAGUCUUGGGGUCCGGCCACCGCAGGGAGCCUAGGUCAUGCAGGGACCCCCCCCUCCAUCCGCUGUGCACCCUCGCGCCACAGCGCAGCACCCAGGCCACCCCCCCUCUGCCCACCAGCGUCCGUGGGAAUCCGCCCCAGCCAGCGACAAGGACGGACUUGUCCGGAAUCAAACUGCAUCUUAAUAUUAUAAUGCGGCACCAAAAGCAAAACCCGAGGCCCCGGCUUGCAGUCCCUAACAAGAAACACAUUGUGUGCACUUUUUCUUUUUUGGCUCAAGCCACGUUCGCGCGCCGGCCCCUCCGCAGCGAGCCAAGUCCAUGACUUCAGUGAGGAGGAACCCGCCUGCCUCGCACCACGUGCGCUCCCAGCUGGGGCAGCCGCCCUGUGAGCCCUGUCCCGGUCCCUGGGACGGGCUAGGGCCUGGCCGGGACGCGCUUGUCCUGGGCACAGGACAAGGGCUUUGGGGCACAGCCCUUUCUCGGCCGGGGAGGCAGGCGAACCGAUCGCCCGGGCACUGGUGUUACCCAGGCGGCGCCAGCGCGAGUUGGCUGGUGGACAGGUUUUUCAAUAGUUUGAACUCCUUCUUCCCCUUGCCGCAUCUUUAAGGCGUUUACUCCCAGAUUCAGCCCUCUCCUCAUAAUAAUGACAGUUUGCAGACUUUUCCUUUCCAGUUAGAGUGCGUGCGCGGGUCCUGCAAGAUCCCAGCCGCGCGUCACCGCGAACCAUUCUGCGGGAGGGGCAGGACCUAAGGCUGCAUCUCCAGGAGGGAACGUGGAGACACCGCGGGCGGAGGGGACCUGGAGGAGUUCCUGGAGGAGCAGUCCUAGGCACGGGGCGAAGGAUUUGCGCUCUAGCUGGUGGAGCGCACAUCGCCCUGGUUAGCUCUGCGUCACCAUGUAACAAAUGCAGACAUCUCUGAGAUCACCAUGCAGUGAGGAAGUCUAAGCUGGUGGCAUGAAGAGGCCACAUGGAAAGGGCUAAAAAAGGGGCCAGCCUCAGUCAUCCCAGCUGAGCACCUGGCUGGGAAUAAAAGAGGACUCCGUGGAUGUCCAGCCCAGUAAGAUGACCUCAGCCCCAGCCACCAACUGACCAAGCACACAAGACAUCGUGAGGCUGCCUGCUGGAGCCUGGCCAGUGGGACUGUAGAGUAACUCAUUGUCGUGCAGGAACUCCUGGGAUGGUGUUGCCCAGUGACACAAUCCCAGUGUGGCCAUUUCUGAUCCCGAGAAAGCAGUCAGGAGUGGGUGGAUGCAGUUACAGUUCAUCAAGUCCUGCUAGUUCAAGUCAUGAGUCCUGAAUUCUCCAGGAGGAGCCACUAAAGAAAUGCAGAAGCAGGCAAUCCUUGCAAUAAGGCCAGCAAACUGCCAGUGUGAAGGAUGCCCAGGUAACCUGCCCAUGCCAGAACGGCCAGGAGAUGGUGGAACCAGAAUCUAAGCCCACGCCCAUCUGACCUCAAAGUCUGUGCUCCUGAGGUUCGCACCGAGUUGCCUCCUAAGACUUGCUGAAACUGGAUCACGUCCAUUUACCCAUCUCUGAGAGAAAUGCAAGCUUUAAAAAAGGAAAUAUUUACUAUGGAUAUUUUACAAUAGUUCCAAAACAUGAAAGUUUUAAAUAAGAUAUUCUUAACCAUCCUCACCACAUCUUC